GUGGGGAAUAUUGGACAAUGGGCGAAAGCCUGAUCCAGCCAUGCCGCGUGUGUGAAGAAGGUCUUCGGAUUGUAAAGCACUUUAAGUUGGGAGGAAGGGCAGUAAGUUAAUACCUUGCUGUUUUGACGUUACCGACAGAAUAAGCACCGGCUAACUUCGUGCCAGCAGCCGCGGUAAUACGAAGGGUGCAAGCGUUAAUCGGAAUUACUGGGCGUAAAGCGCGCGUAGGUGGUUUUGUAAGUUGGAGGUGAAAUCCCCGGGCUCAACCUGGGAACUGCAUCCAAAACUGGAUGACUAGAGUACGGUAGAGGGUAGUGGAAUUUCCUGUGUAGCGGUGAAAUGCGUAGAUAUAGGAAGGAACACCAGUGGCGAAGGCGACUACCUGGACUGAUACUGACACUGAGGUGCGAAAGCGUGGGGAGCAAACAGGAUUAGAAACCCUAGUAGUCC
Molecule: ribosomal RNA, 450 nt
Filed under: uncultured bacterium
Lineage: Bacteria
Description: bacterial SSU rRNA
Rfam family: Bacterial small subunit ribosomal RNA
Source: RNAcentral